CGGAGUGAAAGGCGAACUGCUCAGUAACACGUAGCUAAUCUACCCUCACGCCGGUAAUACCCUCGGGAAACUGAGGCUAAUGACCGAUAGGAAACUUCUACUGGAAUGUGAUGUUUUCGAAAUCUUGUGUGAGGAUGAGGCUGCGGCGGAUUAGGUUGUUGGCGGAGUAAUGGCCCACCAAGCCGAUGAUCCGUAAGGGCUCUUAGCGGAGAAGCCCUGAGAGGGAAUCUGAGACACUAUUCCCAGCCCUACGGGGUGCAGCAGUCGGGAAAAUUCUGCAAUGCACGCAAGUGUGACAGAGCAAGCCAGAGUGCAUUCCCGUAUUGGGAACGCUUUUGUGAAAUGUAAAAAGUUUCACGAAUAAGGACCGGGCAAGACUGGUGCCAGCCGCCGCGGUAAUACCAGCGGUCCAAGUCGCAAUCAGCUUUAUUGGGUCUAAAACAUCCGUAGCUUGCUGUAUAAGUCUCUUGUGAAAUCUCAUUUCUCAAGAAUGGAAGUGCGAGAGAUACUGUACAGCUAGAGACCGGGAGACGUGAAGAGUACGGUUCGGGUAGCGGUAAAAUGCGUUGAUCCUUACUGGACUAACAAUAGCGAAGGCACUUCACGAGAACGGAUCUGACAGUGAGGGAUGAAGGCUAGGGGCGCAAAACGGAUUAGAUACCCGUGUAGUCCUAGCAGUAAACACUGCUCACUAAACAUUGGGGCCUCCUCGAGAGGUUUCAGUGCUGUAGGGAAGCCGUAGAGUGAGCUACCUGGGAAGUAUAGUCGCAAGGCCGAAACUUAAAGGAAUAGGCGGGGGAGUACUACAACGAGUGACGCGUGCGGUUCAAUUAGAUUCCACACCGUGAACCUCACCAGGACCGACAGCAGGAUGAAGGUCAGUCUGAAGGGCUUACCUGACACGCUGAGAGGAGAUGCAUGGCCGACGUCAGCCUGUGUCGUGAGAUGACCUGUUAAAUCAGGUAACAGGCGAGACCCGCGUGCAUAUUUACUUCGUGUACAAUAUGCAGACUGCCUUGGUAACAAGGAGGAAGGUGCGGGCUACGUCAGGUGAGUACGUCCCGAAUGUCCUGGGCUACACGCGCGCGGCAAUGCAACGUUCAGUGGGUUGCGACACCGAAAGGUGAAGCCAAUCUCUUAAACCGUUGCCUAGUUCAGAUCGAGGAUUGCAACUCAUCCUCGUGACGCUGGAAUUCGUAGUAAUCGUGUGUUAUCAGCAGACGGUGAAUAUGUCAAUGCUCCUUGCACUCACCGCCCGUCAAACCAACCGAGUUUAGCAUUGGCGAGGCUCGUCAGGGACGAACCUUUGUUAGACAAGGUAGGUUAAGUCGGCACAAGGUA
This 1341-nucleotide ribosomal RNA is filed under the name metagenome. RNAcentral's name for it is "bacterial SSU rRNA". It matches the Rfam family "Archaeal small subunit ribosomal RNA". The record is from RNAcentral.